Long non-coding RNA from Octopus sinensis (East Asian common octopus), 165 nucleotides. RefSeq lists it as uncharacterized. The record is from RefSeq and is a predicted model, not a curated record. The transcript has 4 exons. NCBI's taxonomy places the organism in Eukaryota, Metazoa, Mollusca, Cephalopoda, Octopoda, Octopodidae.
AAUAAAGUGCUAUCCUGGGUCUAAGUAGCUGCUGGGAGACCCUAUGCCUGGCAGUAGGACUCUGCAGCAUGCCACACACGCAGGAGAACCCAGUCAUGGCUGUUAGACAAUUUCUGUGACCACAUCUCCCCUAACAUCUGGCCACCUGACUCCCCAGACUGCAAC